Molecule: ribosomal RNA, 491 nt
Filed under: uncultured bacterium
Lineage: Bacteria
Description: partial 16S ribosomal RNA
Rfam family: Bacterial small subunit ribosomal RNA
Source: RNAcentral
AGUGAACGCUGGCGGUAGGCCUAACACAUGCAAGUCGAACGGCAGCACAGUAAGAGCUUGCUCUUACGGGUGGCGAGUGGCGGACGGGUGAGGAAUACAUCGGAAUCUACUUUUUCGUGGGGGAUAACGUAGGGAAACUUACGCUAAUACCGCAUACGACCUACGGGUGAAAGCAGGGGAUCUUCGGACCUUGCGCGAUUGAAUGAGCCGAUGUCGGAUUAGCUAGUUGGCGGGGUAAGGCCCACCAAGGCGACGAUCCGUAGCUGGUAUGAGAGGAUGAUCAGCCACACUGGAACUGAGACACGGUCCAGACUCCUACGGGAGGCAGCAGUGGGGAAUAUUGGACAAUGGGCGCAAGCCUGAUCCAGCCAUACCGCGUGGGUGAAGAAGGCCUUCGGGUUGUAAAGCCCUUUUGUUGGGAAAGAAAAGCAGCAGGUUAAUACCCCGCUGUUCUGACGGUACCCAAAGAAUAAGCACCGGCUAACUUCGUG